AGAGUUUGAUCCUGGCUCAGAGUGAACGCUGGCGGCGUGGAUUAGGCAUGCAAGUCGAGCGAUUUUUUAAAUAGAGAGGUUGAAGCCGCAAGGUGGAUGCCAAUUUGUUUUAGAAAUAGCGGCAAACGGGUGAGGAAUACGUGAGUAAUUUACCCUUAAAUCGGAGAUAGCUUCGCGAAAGUAAAGAUAAUAUCCGAUGUGUCCAACUUUUCAAAUGAAGAGUUGGGUAAAGGUGGCUCGUAAGAGCUAUUGUUUAAGGAUGAGCUCGCGCCCUAUCAGCUAGUUGGUGAGGUAAUGGCUCACCAAGGCUUUUGACGGGUAGCUGGUCUGAGAGGACGAUCAGCCACACUGGGACUGAGACACUGCCCAGACUCCUACGGGAGGCUGCAGUCGAGGAUAUUUAGCAAUGGACGAAAGUCUGACUAUGCGACGCCGCGUGAGGGAUGAAGGUUUUCGGAUUGUAAACCUCUUUCGAUGGGGAGGAAACUUUUUGGUGUGAAUAAUGCCAGAAACUGACGGUACCUAGAGAAGAAGCCACGGCUAACUCCGUGCCAGCAGCCGCGGUAAUACGGAGGUGGCAAGCGUUACUCGGAUUUAUUGGGUGUAAAGGGCAGGUAGGCGGCUCUGUAAGUCAAAGGUGAAAUUUCAUCUCUCAAAGAUGAAACUGCCUUUGAAACUACAGGGCUUGAGUCUGGAAGAGGAGAUUGGAAUUCCUGGUGUAACAGUGAAAUGUGUAGAUAUCAGGAGGAACACCUGUGGCGAAAGCGAAUCUCUGGUUCAGAUCUGACGCUGAGCUGCGAAAGCUAGGGGAGCAAACAGGAUUAGAUACCCUGGUAGUCCUAGCCGUAAACGAUGAGCACUAGGUGUUGGGGGGCAACCCUCAGCGCCGUAAGAUAACUCGUUAAGUGCUCCACCUGGGGACUACGGCCGCAAGGCUAAAACUCAAAGGAAUUGACGGGGGCCCGCGCAAGCGGUGGAACAUGUGGUUUAAUUCGAUGCUACGCGAAGAACCUCACCAGGGUUUGACAUGUAGGUAGUAGUGAACUGAAAGGGGAACGAUUCCGCAAGGAAAGCCUACACAGGUGCUACAUGGUUGUCGUCAGCUCGUGUCGUGAGAUGUUAGGUUAAGUCCUAUAACGAGCGCAACCAUCAUCUUUUGUUGCUACCAGUUUUGGCGAAAGUCAAAAGCUGAGCACUCUAAAGAAACUGCCUGUGAUAAACAGGAGGAAGGUGGAGAUGACGUCAAAUCAGUAUGGCCCUUAUACCCUGGGCUACACACGUGUUACAAUGCCUGCUACAAAGCGUUGCCAAACCGCGAGGUGGAGCUAAUCGCAAAAAGGCAGGCCCAGUUCAGAUUGAAGUCUGCAAUUCGACUUCAUGAAGCCGGAAUCGCUAGUAACCCCGGAUCAGCUACGCCGGGGUGAAUACGUUCCCGGGCCUUGUACACACCGCCCGUCAAGCGAUGGAAGUUCUGAAUGCCCGAAGU
This 1486-nucleotide ribosomal RNA is filed under the name uncultured bacterium. Its description in RNAcentral is "16S ribosomal RNA". It matches the Rfam family "Bacterial small subunit ribosomal RNA". The record is from RNAcentral.